UUACCGAGUUUACAACUCCCAAACCCCUGUGAACAUACCUAUUUGUUGCCUCGGCGGUGCCUGUUCCGACAGCCCGCCAGAGGACCCCAAACCCUGAUUACAUUUAAGAAGUCUUCUGAGUAAACCGAUUAAAUAAAUCAAAACUUUCAACAACGGAUCUCUUGGUUCUGGCAUCGAUGAAGAACGCAGCGAAAUGCGAUAAGUAAUGUGAAUUGCAGAAUUCAGUGAAUCAUCGAAUCUUUGAACGCACAUUGCGCCCGCUAGUAUUCUGGCGGGCAUGCCUGUCCGAGCGUCAUUUCAACCCUCAAGCCCCCGGGCUUGGUGUUGGGGAUCGGCGAGCCUCCGCGCCCGCCGUCCCCUAAAUCUAGUGGCGGUCUCGCUGUAGCUUCCUCUGCGUAGUAGCACACCUCGCACUGGGAAACAGCGCGGCCACGCCGUUAAACCCCCAACUUCUGAACGUUUGACCUCGGAUCAGGUAGGAAUACCCGCUGAACUUAAGCAUAUCAAUAAGCGGAGG
RNAcentral lists this ribosomal RNA (517 nucleotides) under Neonectria sp. nwa_besc_241b. RNAcentral describes it as "eukaryotic LSU rRNA". The stretch from base 142 to 295 matches the Rfam family "5.8S ribosomal RNA". Lineage: Eukaryota; Fungi; Ascomycota; Sordariomycetes; Hypocreales; Nectriaceae. The record is from RNAcentral.